GAGUUUGAUCCUGGCUCAGAUUGAACGCUGGCGGCAGGCCUAACACAUGCAAGUCGGGCGGUAGAGAGAAGCUUGCUUCUCUUGAGAGCGGCGGACGGGUGAGUAAUGCCUAGGAAUCUGCCUGGUAGUGGGGGGUAACGCUCGGAAACGGACGCUAAUACCGCAUACGUCCUACGGGAGAAAGCAGGGACCUUCGGGCCUUGCGCUAUCAGAUGAGCCUAGGUCGGAUUAGCUAGUUGGUGAGGUAAUGGCUCACCAAGGCGACGAUCCGUAACUGGUCUGAGAGGAUGAUCAGUCACACUGGAACUGAGACACGGUCCAGACUCCUACGGGAGGCAGCAGUGGGGAAGUAUUGGACAAUGGGCGAAAGCCUGAUCCAGCCAUGCCGCGUGUGUGAAGAAGGUCUUCGGAUUGUAAAGCACUUUAAGUUGGGAGGAAGGGCAGUAAAUUAAUACUUUGCUGUUUUGACGUUACCGACAGAAUAAGCACCGGCUAACUCUGUGCCAGCAGCCGCCG
RNAcentral lists this ribosomal RNA (516 nucleotides) under uncultured bacterium. Its description in RNAcentral is "bacterial SSU rRNA". It matches the Rfam family "Bacterial small subunit ribosomal RNA", at positions 9 to 520 of the family's 1533-position model. The record is from RNAcentral.